Molecule: ribosomal RNA, 909 nt
Filed under: Penicillium westlingii
Lineage: Eukaryota; Fungi; Ascomycota; Eurotiomycetes; Eurotiales; Aspergillaceae
Description: LSU rRNA
Rfam family: Eukaryotic large subunit ribosomal RNA
Source: RNAcentral
GCAUAUCAAUAAGCGGAGGAAAAGAAACCAACCGGGAUUGCCCUAGUAACGGCGAGUGAAGCGGCAAGAGCUCAAAUUUGAAAGCUGGCCCCCUCGGGGUCCGCAUUGUAAUUUGCAGAGGAUGCUUCGGGAGCGGUCCCCAUCUAAGUGCCCUGGAACGGGCCGUCAUAGAGGGUGAGAAUCCCGUAUGGGAUGGGGUGCCCGCGCCCGUGUGAAGCUCCUUCGACGAGUCGAGUUGUUUGGGAAUGCAGCUCUAAUUGGGUGGUAAAUUUCAUCUAAAGCUAAAUAUUGGCCGGAGACCGAUAGCGCACAAGUAGAGUGAUCGAAAGAUGAAAAGCACUUUGAAAAGAGAGUUAAACAGCACGUGAAAUUGUUGAAAGGGAAGCGCUUGCGAUCAGACUCGCUCGCGGGGUUCAGCCGGCCUUCGGGCCGGUGUACUUCCCCGCGGGCGGGCCAGCGUCGGUUUGGGCGGCCGGUCAAAGGCCCCUGGAAUGUAACGCCUCUCGGGGCGUCUUAUAGCCAGGGGUGCCAUGCGGCCUGCCCGGACCGAGGAACGCGCUUCGGCUCGGACGCUGGCAUAAUGGUCGUAAGCGACCCGUCUUGAAACACGGACCAAGGAGUCUAACAUCUACGCGAGUGUUCGGGUGUCAAACCCGUGCGCGCAGUGAAAGCGAACGGAGGUGGGAACCCCUCGGGGUGCACCAUCGACCGAUCCUGAUGUCUUCGGAUGGAUUUGAGUAAGAGCGUAGCUGUUGGGACCCGAAAGAUGGUGAACUAUGCCUGAAUAGGGCGAAGCCAGAGGAAACUCUGGUGGAGGCUCGCAGCGGUUCUGACGUGCAAAUCGAUCGUCAAAUUUGGGUAUAGGGGCGAAAGACUAAUCGAACCAUCUAGUAGCUGGUUCCUGGCGAG